GCUGGGAUGUGAUGGGGAGCGAAAUUUAGUAGCGAAGUAGCUGAUUUCACACUGUCAAGAAAAGUCUCUAUCGAGGUUAAAGGUACCCGUACCGCAAACCGACACAGGUGGGUGAGGAGAGUAUCCUAAGGCCAGCGAGAGAACUGUUGUUAAGGAACUCGGCAAAAUGACCCCGUAACUUAGGGAUAAGGGGUGCCACCAUCCGGUGGCCGCAGAGAAUAGGCCCAAGCGACUGUUUACCAAAAACAUAGGUUUCUGCUAAGUCGCAAGACGAUGUAUAGGAGCUGACGCCUGCCCGGUGCUGGAAGGUUAAGGGGAUCUGUUAGAGCAAUCGAAGCAGUGAACUUAAGCCCCAGUAAACGGCGGCCGUAACUAUAACGGUCCUAAGGUAGCGAAAUUCCUUGUCGGGUAAGUUCCGACCCGCACGAAAGGCGUAACGAUUUGGGCACUGUCUCAACAACAGACUCGGUGAAAUUGUAAUUCCGGUGAAGAUGCCGGAUACCUGCGACAGGACGGAAAGACCCCAUGGAGCUUUACUGUAGCUUGACAUUGGGUCUUGGUACUACAUGUACAGGAUAGGUGGGAGGCUUUGAAACCAGGACGCCAGUUUUGGCGGAGCCAUCCUUGGGAUACCACCCUUGUAGUACUGGGACUCUAACCAUAGGCCAUGAAUCUGGUCUUGGGACACUGUCAGGUGGGCAGUUUGACUGGGGCGGUCGCCUCCCAAAAGGUAACGGAGGCGCUCAAAGGUUCUCUCAGUACGGUCGGAAAUCGUACGUAGAGUGUAAAGGCAAAAGAGAGCUUGAUUGCAAGACAUACAGGUCGAGCAAGGAUGAAAAUCGGACUUAGUGAUCCGGUGGUUCUGCGUGGAAGGGCCAUCGCUCAACGGAUAAAAGCUACCCUGGGGAUAACAGGCUUAUCUCCCCCAAGAGUCCACAUCGACGGGGAGGUUUGGCACCUCGAUGUCGGCUCAUCACAUCCUGGGGCUGUAGUAGGUCCCAAGGGUUGGGCUGUUCGCCCAUUAAAGUGGUACGCGAGCUGGGUUCAGAACGUCGUGAGACAGUUCGGUCCCUAUCCGUCGCAGGCGUAGGAAAUUUGAGAAGACCUGUCCUUAGUACGAGAGGACCGGGAUGGACGUACCUCUGGUGUACCAGUUGUUCUGCCAAGGGCAUGGCUGGGUAGCUAUGUACGGAAUGGAUAAGCGCUGAAAGCAUCUAAGCGCGAAGCCAACUUCAAGAUAAGAUUUCCCACCGCAAGGGUAAGACCCCAGAAAGACUAUCUGGUUGAUAGGUCGAAGGUGUAAGUGCAGCAAUGUAUUUAGCUUAUCGAUACUAAUAGGUCGAGGACUUGACCAA
RNAcentral lists this ribosomal RNA (1355 nucleotides) under Clostridioides difficile. Its description in RNAcentral is "partial 23S ribosomal RNA". It matches the Rfam family "Bacterial large subunit ribosomal RNA", at positions 1555 to 2925 of the family's 2925-position model. The record is from RNAcentral. Lineage: Bacteria; Bacillati; Bacillota; Clostridia; Peptostreptococcales; Peptostreptococcaceae.